CGAGACAGGGUUUCUCUGUGUAGCCCUGACUGUCCUAGAACUGGCUCUGUAGACCAGGCUGGCCUCCAACUCAGAGAGAUUCGCCUCCCUCUGCUUCCUGUGUGCUGGGAUUAAAGGCUUAAGAGCCACCAUCACCUGGUUUAAAAGAAAGUUUUUUAAAUCAAGAACUCUAGAUCUAAAUCUAGGCUGGGGCCUCUAGUAUGAACAAAAAUCUACCUUUAUUCAUUUCUUAAUUAAAUAGAUCAUAGAACUUUCUCUUUCUUAAGACAGAAGUGAAGGGCAGGCAGUGGGCCCCAAAAGAAAUCAGGAGCCCUGCUCUCAGAGAAACCAGGAGCCCUGGGUCUCUUUGAGAUUUUCACUAAAUCCCACUCCCAGGUAAGCUGCUCAGUCUCUCUGGCCUCAGUCUCUUCAAGUCCAUACACAGGAAGGAAGCUAAACCAGCAUGAGUGUUUCCACCCCUAACAUUUUAAAGCAGACAUCUAUACUCAGUGGAGAAGAAAUUAAAGGUGUUAAUGAGAAAAAGAUGAUUCAUUGAAUUCUGGACCCAGAAUCUGCCUGGCUCAGAGAGUUAACCUUAUCAGUCUCAGUUUAUUAAGGGGUAGGAGGCUUGGUGGGUAGAACUACAGCCACCUAAAUGAAAUCAAGCUGGUACUAAAUGAAUGUUGCUGAGGUGUGAUCUAUCCAGAGAGUUAAGCAACUUACUAGCAGCCUGAAAUCACAUUACCAAAACUGUGUUGUUGCAAAAACUUAACUUUCCCUCAGCUGUGAUUUGAAGAGAGGGUGCAGAGCUGAGAAUACUUUGUCUGUGGCCAUCUGUCCCAUUCUAGUCUCCAGAGAGGCAUGAGGGGGAGUGUGAAAAGCCACCAGGUGCUGUGUAAAUUCAGCCACCAAUGUCACAUAUCCAUCAUGAACCCAGCAUUUACAGGUUGCUAGGGAUAAGCAGAAAGCAUGGAAUUAUAAAAAGGCUAGCCAAUCCAUCCAAGCCUUCCAGGCUUUCCCUGAGCCUCCCUCCAUGCCAGGCACAGGGCUGAGGACACAGCAUAAAAUAGUGUAGAUGUCCAUACCAGUACAUGCUUGUUAAAUGUUUCCCCCUCUGGGCUGGGAAGGAGCUGUCUGCUGUAGAGCAGCAAAGAGAACUGCAGGCCCUUUCAGUGGCCUGUAUGACAUGCAUAAGUCCUGUAACAAAAACUGCUUCCCCGGGCUGGAGAGAUGGCUCAGUGAUUAAGAAUACUGAACUGCUCUUCUAGAGGUCCUGAGUUCAAUUCCCAGCAACCACAUGGUGUCUCACAACCAUCUGUAAUGGGGAACAAUGCCCCUUUCUGGUGUGUCUGAAGAUAGCUACAGUGUACUCACACACAUUAAAUAAGUAAAUAAAUAAUUCAAUUAAAAACAAAAAAACAAACCUGCUUUCCUGUCCAUCAAGUAGAAACAGCACCAGCACGCCAUAGGAUUCCACAAGGGAAUAAACAAAUAUGACAACAAGAGCAAGCACACUGAGCCUAACAGCACAAAUGCUAUAUAAGCCAAAAUAACCAAGUGCUAAAGUCAAAGUUAAACACCACAGAAGCUAACAGAGCUGCUCCUACAUCAGCACAACUUCCAAAUCAGAUCCCAGGGACGUCAGUCCCAAAGGCCCAAGUGUGAAAGGUGUAGCCUCACCCUGUGAUACUACUGGCAGGAGAUGGGAGUGGGGUGGGGUGGACAGCUAGGUACAAACCCAUGUCACCUUUUCUCUUUUGUAUUUUUGGUAACGAAGAGAACAAUUUUACUCUGUCAUGUGCCACCAUCUCCAUGUACUGUCUCCCCAAGGCCCAAAAUAACAGCAGCAAUCAAUGGACUGGAACCUCAACACGUAAGCCUCUCUCCAUCCUUCUCUCCUCUCUCCUCUCCCUGCUUCCUUUUCCCUCUUUUCUCCUGUUGUAGGAGGAGGGGUCAGCCCAGGCUGACCUCAAUCUCUCAGCUCUUCUGACUCCUGAAGACCCGCUCUCCUUUUUUCUCUAUGAGCUGAUUUCCUCAGAAUUGUUACAGUGAAGGAAACGGACACAAACAAUAGGAAAUGUGUUAUGCACUGGGGGCAAAGAAGACAGGCCUGCCCUAGCUCAGCAGGUAAAGGUGCUUGCUGCGAAGUCUAUCCAUCUGAGUUCCAUCCUUGGAAUCUAGAUGGUGGAGGGAAAGAACUGUCCUCUGACCUAUAUACACACUGUGGGUAACAUGCAACUGUACAUAUGCACAUACAUGUACAUACACAUGCACAAAUAAAUAUAAUUUGUUUUUGUUUUUAAGCUGAUGAUCUAGAGCCAGUGAGAUGGCUCAGUGGGUAAAAGCACUUAUCGUGCAAGUUAAUAACCUGAGUUCAGGCCUCAGAACCCACAAAAAGGUGUACACAAUAGUUUGUAUCUGUAAUCUCAGCACUCCUACUAUGAGAUCGGAGGCAGAGACAAAAAAAAAAAAAAAAAA
RNAcentral lists this long non-coding RNA (2457 nucleotides) under Mus musculus (house mouse). Its description in RNAcentral is "predicted gene, 48855". The record is from RNAcentral. Lineage: Eukaryota; Metazoa; Chordata; Mammalia; Rodentia; Muridae.